RNAcentral lists this transfer RNA (73 nucleotides) under Octopus vulgaris (common octopus). It matches the Rfam family "tRNA". From Rfam's summary of the family: Transfer RNA (tRNA) molecules are approximately 80 nucleotides in length. Their secondary structure includes four short double-helical elements and three loops (D, anti-codon, and T loops). Lineage: Eukaryota; Metazoa; Mollusca; Cephalopoda; Octopoda; Octopodidae. The record is from Rfam by way of RNAcentral. RNAcentral also lists the same sequence under 1 other name.
GCCCACAUAGCUCAGUCGGUAGAGCAUCAGACUUUUAAUCUGAGGGUCGUGGGUUCAUGUCCCCCUGCGGGCG